This 3021-nucleotide long non-coding RNA is filed under the name Sus scrofa (pig). RNAcentral's name for it is "lncRNA (ENSSSCG00000057635.1)". Lineage: Eukaryota; Metazoa; Chordata; Mammalia; Artiodactyla; Suidae. The record is from RNAcentral.
ACAGCAAAGAAAACCCUAAACAAAACAAAGACAACCCACAGAAUGGGAGAAAAUAUUUUCAAAUGAAGCAACUGACAAGGGAUUAAUCUCCAAAAUUUAUAAACACCUCCUGCAGCUCAAUACCAAAAAAAAAAAAAAAAACAAAGAACCUUAUCAAAAAAUGUACAGAAGAUCUAAACAGUUCUCCAAAGAAGACAUACAGAUGGCCAAAAAACACACAUGAAAAGAAGUUCAGCACCACUAAUUUUUAGAGAAAUGCACAUCAAAACCACUAUGAGGGACCACCUUACACCAGGUAGAAUGGCUGUCAUCAAAAAAUCUACAAACAAUAAAUACUGGAGAAGGUGUGGAGAAAAGGGACCCUAUUACAUUGUUGGUGGGAAUGUAAAUUGUUGCAGCCACUGUGGAAAACAGUAUGGUGAUUCCUCAGAAAACUAAAAAUAGAAUUACCAUUUGAUCCAGCAAUCCCACUUCUGGGCAUCUAUCCAGAGAAAACCAUGACUUGAAAAGAUACAUGUACUCUGAUGUUCAUUGCAGCACUAUAUGCAAUAGCGAAGACAUGGAAACAACCUAAAUGUCCAUUGACAGAGGAGUGGAUAAAGAAGGUAAGGUACAUAAACACAAUAGAAUAUUACUUAGCCAUUAAAAGGAAAGAAAUAAUGGUAUUUACAGCAACAUGGAUUGACCUAGAAAUUAUCAUGUUAAGUGAAGUUAGACAGUGAGACACCAACAUCAUAUGCUAUCACUUACAUGUGAAAUCUAAAAAAAGGACACAACAAAAUUCUGUGUAGAACAAAUACUGACUCAUAUACUUUGAAAAACUUAUGGUUUCCAAAGGAGACUGAUUGGGGGGUGGGUGGAUGCACUGGGCUUUGGGAUGAAAAUGCUGUAAGAUUGAGUUGUGAUGAUCAUUGUACAACUAUUAAUGUAAUAAAAUUCUUUGAGUAAUUAAAUAAAUAAAAUGAGCAUCUGUUAGAGGAUUCAUUUCAAACAAGGUUAAUUCAAUAUUCAGACAUUUCACCAACAUGGCAGUAAUUGUAAACACAAAAAUCCAGCCUCCAAAAUUAUAAAAGUAACUUAUCUCUUACAUUUAACAUGAUUAUCCACCAAAAAAAGAGAAUAAAUUUUAAAUGAAAUUGAAAAAGACUUCCGUGUUGCUUUAUUUUGACUUUUUUAUGUAAAUUUUGUAAUUCUCUUUUAUCAGUUUUAUAAUUUUGGAAAAUUAAAAUAUUAUAUUACAUUUCUAGUAACAGUAAUCACCAAAUAUAGUUCACAAGGACUUGAAAAGAUAUAUGUUUGAUAUAUACAGUUAAAACUAUCAAAACACUUUCAGGUUUACAAAAGAAGACAAGAAUAAUACGUAUACCUUAUUGUAAUACAAAAAGCACAAUAACUGAACAUUGGAGACAUCAAUAGGCUAUAAUAAGUUAUUGUACUUAAAAUUCAGUAGAUAUUUGGAUGGUUGCUUGUUUUGUUAUGUUGAACUUUACAGAGUAUUCUAAAAUUCAUCUGAGAGAACUAAAGGGUGAAAACAAAAAAAAAGCUUUUUUUGAAAAAAUUAUUUAAUGAGGUAAAGUCAACCUUGUUACAUAUUACAACAAAAUGAAUACUCAGUUAGUAAAAUACAAUAUUGCAAGAAUGACUAUAAAUUAACACCUCAUCCAAAAAAUUUUUGAAAAAGAAAGCAGAAUUGGAAUUAGUUAAAUCGAUUAUUUUAGGGAAAAAAUUUUGAUAACUCUUGUUCCUCACUAUAUAUAAUAAAAUAUACAUCAGAGUUAUUAAAGUCCUAAUUUUAAGAAAAGUAAUAAUCUAAAAGAAAAUGGAAGUAAUGAUUUUAUAGUAAGGAAAUUUUCUUGGUUAAUGAAAUAUCAAAGGGAAAAUGCAUAGAGUUUACUACCUAACAAAAUUAUACUACCUAAAAUAUACACAAAAUAUGAUAAUAUAAAAAUAAGCAUACACAAAAAUAAUAUACAUAAACUAAAUAUAUAUGUGAAUAUAAAAAUAAGAAUAAAUAUAUUUAAUAAAACAAUAAAACAAAUUUAAAACACAGAUAACAGAAUAAAUCAAUAUAUACAAAAAUUUAAUCUAUGAUAAACAUAAAACAUUUACACAGCUAAAACAACUGAAUGCAAUGACAAUACAUUUGGAGAAUGUUUGCAUGACUUUGGCCGAGAUUUAACACCCAUAGCAAAAGAGGCUUCAAAAUUGGAAUAUAAUAUAAAACUCGGCAAAAGAUAUUAAUGGUUAAUUCAUAUGGGAAAAUAAACAUGUUAUAUGUUCAAUAUAGCGUGUAACAAAAAUUAAAACAGUAUAGCGCUUUUCUCCUAUUUUUUUUUUUUGCUCAUAAAAUUAAUAAGCAUAAGCCUAGGAUUGUUUACAGUAGGGUAAAAAGGGUAAUCUUAUAUAUUAGUAGUGGAGUUUUAACUUGGUGUAAACUGUCUGGAAAAAAGUUUAUAAUUUUAUUGAGUCUUUUAAGUGUUCAUACAUUUUGGGUAAGUUCAUUUCUUCUAGAAUUUACUAAAGAAAUCAUCAAUCAGAUAUGGUGAUAGAUGUUUAUGUAACAGAGAUUUCCAUGACAGUUUUUAAAAUAAUGUCCAAAAUUGGAAAUAAGCCCAUGCCCCAAGAGAAGGUAAAUGGUGAAAUAAAUAUGAAAAUAUCUACAUAUUUUGAAGCAACUAAAAAAAAGCUUUUAAGAUUAUUUAAUAAUAUAGAGGAAAGCUCAUGUUUUAAUUAACAGUCAAAACAAUUCAACCAUUCUCUUAAAUUGUUAACGUCAGGUCCUGCCCCCCAGUAAGAAUUAGAAUUCCAAGCCUUGGAGUUCCUAUUAUGGCUCAGUGAUAAAGAACUUAAUUAGUAUCCAUGAGGACACAGGUUCUAUCCCUGGCCUUGCUCAGUGGGUUGAGGAUCCAGUGCUGCCUUGAGCAGAUGCAUCUCAGAUCCAGUGUGGCUGUGGUGUAGGCUGGCAGCUGCAGCUCUGAUUCGACCCCUAGCCUGGGAACUUCCAUAUGCCAUGGGUGUGGC